Molecule: ribosomal RNA, 829 nt
Filed under: Pleosporales sp. LM558
Lineage: Eukaryota; Fungi; Ascomycota; Dothideomycetes; Pleosporales
Description: SSU rRNA
Rfam family: Eukaryotic small subunit ribosomal RNA
Source: RNAcentral
CUUGUCUCAAAGAUUAAGCCAUGCAUGUCUAAGUAUAAGCAAUUAUACCGUGAAAACUGCGCAAUGGCUCAUUAAAUCAGUUAUCGUUUAUUUGAUAGUACCUUACUACUUGGAUAACCGUGGUAAUUCUAGAGCUAAUACAUGCUAAAAACCCCAACUUCGGGAGGGGUGUAUUUAUUAGAUAAAAAACCAAUGCCCUUCGGGGCUCCUUGGUGAUUCAUGAUAACUUCUCAGAUCGCAUGGCUUUACGCCGGCGACGGUUCAUUCAAAUUUCUGCCCUAUCAACUUUCGAUGGUAAGGUAGUGGCUUACCAUGGUUUCAACGGGUAACGGGGAAUUAGGGUUCGAUUCCGGAGAGGGAGCCUGAGAAACGGCUACCACAUCCAAGGAAGGCAGCAGGCGCGCAAAUUACCCAAUUCCGAUACGGAGAGGUAGUGACAAUAAAUACUGAUACAGGGCUCUUUUGGGUCUUGUAAUUGGAAUGAGUACAAUUUAAACCUCUUAACGAGGAACAAUUGGAGGGCAAGUCUGGUGCCAGCAGCCGCGGUAAUUCCAGCUCCAAUAGCGUAUAUUAAAGUUGUUGCAGUUAAAAAGCUCGUAGUUGAACCUUUGGCCUGGCUGGCAGGUCCGCCUCACCGCGUGCACUUGUCCGGCCGGGCCUUUUCUUCUGGAGAACCGCAUGCCCUUCCUGGGUGUGUUGGGGACCAGGACUUUUACUUUGAAAAAAUUAAAGUGUUCAAAGCAGGCCUUUGCUCGAAUACCUUUAGCCUGGGAAUAAUAAAAAAAGGGACGUGCGGGCCCUAUUUUGUUGGGUUUCUAGGGACCCCCCC